This 524-nucleotide ribosomal RNA is filed under the name uncultured bacterium. RNAcentral's name for it is "partial 16S ribosomal RNA". It matches the Rfam family "Bacterial small subunit ribosomal RNA", at positions 28 to 523 of the family's 1533-position model. The record is from RNAcentral.
GACGAACGCUGGCGGCGUGCUUAACACAUGCAAGUCGAACGGACAGACAGAGAGCUUGCUCUCUUGAAGUUAGUGGCGAACGGGUGAGUAACGCGUAAUCAACCUGCCCUUCAGAGGGGGAUAACAACGGGAAACCGUUGCUAAUACCGCGUACGAUUCAUGAACGGCAUCGUAUAUGAAUGAAAGGUGGCCUCUAUGUAUAAGCCAUCGCUGAAGGAGGGGAUUGCGUCUGAUUAGCUAGUUGGAGGGGUAACGGCCCACCAAGGCGAUGAUCAGUAGCCGGUAUGAGAGGAUGAACGGCCACAUUGGGACUGAGACACGGGCCAAACUCCUACGGGAGGCAGCAGUGGGGAAUCUUCCGCAAUGGACGAAAGUCUGACGGAGCAACGCCGCGUGAGUGAUGAAGGUCUUCGGAUUGUAAAGCUCUGCUAAUCGGGACGAAAGAGUUCUGCGUGAAUAAUGCAGAAAAGUGACGGUACCGGAAUAGAAAGCCACGGCUAACUACGUGCCAGCCGCCGCGGUAA